This is a long non-coding RNA of Oncorhynchus keta (chum salmon), 1697 nucleotides long. RefSeq lists it as uncharacterized. Lineage: Eukaryota; Metazoa; Chordata; Actinopteri; Salmoniformes; Salmonidae. The record is from RefSeq and is a predicted model, not a curated record. The transcript has 5 exons.
UGUUACAACCACAAGGUGCUAUAACCAGAUGGUAACAAUGUUACAACCACAAGGUACUAUAACCAGAUGGUAACACUGUUACAACCACAAGGUGUUAUAACCAGAUGGUAACACUGUUACAACCACAAGGUGCUAUAACCAGAUGGUAACAAUGUUACAACCACAAGGUGCUAUAACCAGAUGGUAACACUGUUACAACCACAAUUUGCUAUAACCAGAUGGCAACACUGUUACAACCACAAGGUGCUAUAACCAGAUGGCAACACUGUUACAACCACAAGGUGCUAUAACCAGAUGGUAACACUGUUACAACCACAAGGUGUUAUAACCAGAUGGUAACACUGUCACAACCACAAGGUGUUAUAACCAGAUGGCAACACUGUUACAACCACAAGGUGUUAUAACCAGAUGGUAACACUGUUACAACCACAAGGUGCUAUAACCAGAUGGUAACACUGUUACAACCACAAGGUGUUAUAACCAGAUGGUAACACUGUCACAACCACAAGGUGUUAUAACCAGAUGGCAACACUGUUACAACCACAAGGUGCUAUAACCAGAUGGUAACAAUGUCACAACCACAAGGUGUUAUAACCAGAUGGCAACACUGUUACAACCACAAGGUGUUAUAACCAGAUGGCAACACUGUUACAACCACAAGGUGCUAUAACCAGAUGGCAACACUGUUACAACCACAAGGUGCUAUAACCAGAUGGCAACACUGUUACAACCACAAGGUGCUAUAACCAGAUGGCAACACUGUUACAACCACAAGGUGCUAUAACCAGAUGGUAACACUGUUACAACCACAAGGUGCUAUAACCAGAUGGCAACACUGUUACAACCACAAGGUAACACUGUUACAACCACAAGGUGCUAUAACCAGAUGGUAACACUGUUACAACCACAAGGUGUUAUAACCAGAUGGUAACACUGUUACAACCACAAGGUGCUAUAACCAGAUGGUAACACUGUUACAACCACAAGGUGCUAUAACCAGAUGGUAACACUGUUACAACCACAAGGUGCUAUAACCAGAUGGCAACACUGUUACAACCACAAGGUGCUAUAACCAGAUGGCAACACUGUUACAACCACAAGGUGCUAUAACCAGAUGGUAACACUGUUACAACCACAAGGUGCUAUAACCAGAUGGUAACACUGUUACAACCACAAUUUGCUAUAACCAGAUGGCAACACUGUUACAACCACAAGGUGCUAUAACCAGAUGGCAACACUGUUACAACCACAAGGUGCUAUAACCAGAUGGUAACACUGUUACAACCACAAGGUGCUAUAACCAGAUGGUAACACUGUUACAACCACAAUUUGCUAUAACCAGAUGGCAACACUGUUACAACCACAAGGUGCUAUAACCAGAUGGCAACACUGUUACAACCACAAGGUGCUAUAACCAGAUGGUAACACUGUUACAACCACAAUGUGCUAUAACCAGAUGGCAACACUGUUACAACCACAAGGUGCUAUAACCAGAUGGUAACACUGUUACAACCACAAGGUGCUAUAACCAGAUGGCAACACUGUUACAACCACAAGGUGCUAUAACCAGAUGGCAACACUGUUACAACCACAAGGUGCUAUAACCAGAUGGCAACACUGUUACAACCACAAGGUGCUAUAACCAGAUGGCAACACUGUUACAACCACAAGGUGCUAUAACCAGAUGGUAACACUGU